Molecule: ribosomal RNA, 766 nt
Filed under: Entrophospora lamellosa
Lineage: Eukaryota; Fungi; Glomeromycota; Glomeromycetes; Entrophosporales; Entrophosporaceae
Description: SSU rRNA
Rfam family: Eukaryotic small subunit ribosomal RNA
Source: RNAcentral
ACGGGUACGGGGAUUAGGGUUCGAUUCCGGAGAGGGAGCCUGAGAAACGGCUACCACAUCCAAGGAAGGCAGCAGGCGCGCAAAUUACCCAAUCCCGACACGGGGAGGUAGUGACAAUAAAUAACAAUACGGGGCUCUUUCGGGUCUCGUAAUUGGAAUGAGUACAAUUUAAAUCCCUUAACGAGGAACAAUUGGAGGGCAAGUCUGGUGCCAGCAGCCGCGGUAAUUCCAGCUCCAAUAGCGUAUAUUAAAGUUGUUGCAGUUAAAAAGCUCGUAGUUGAAUUUCGGGAUUGACACAUCGGUCGUGCCUUAAGGGGUAUGAACUGGUGUAGUCAAUUUCUCACCUUCUGGAGAACCGCGAUGCCCUUAAUUGGGUGUCACGGGGAACCAGGACCUUUACUUUGAAAAAAUUAGAGUGUUUAAAGCAGGCAUUUUGCUUGAAUACAUUAGCAUGGAAUAAUAAAAUAGGACGGCAUGAUUCUAUUUUGUUGGUUUCUAGGAUCACCGUAAUGAUUAAUAGGGAUAGUUGGGGGCAUUAGUAUUCAAUUGUCAGAGGUGAAAUUCUUGGAUUUAUUGAAGACUAACUACUGCGAAAGCAUUUGCCAAGGAUGUUUUCAUUAAUCAAGAACGAAAGUUAGGGGAUCGAAGACGAUCAGAUACCGUCGUAGUCUUAACCAUAAACUAUGCCGACUAGGAAUCAGACGAUGUUAAUUUUUUAAUGACUCGUUUGGCACCUUACGGGAAACCAAAUUUUUNNGGGUUNAAA